AUGCUCGCUUCGGCAGCACGUAUACAAAAAUUGGAAUAAUGCAGAGAUAAAUGGCAUGGCCUCUGCGCAAGGAUGACACGCAAUUGUGAAGUCUUCCAUAAGGUG
This is a small nuclear RNA of Xenopus laevis (African clawed frog), 105 nucleotides long. The record is from RefSeq and is a predicted model, not a curated record. Lineage: Eukaryota; Metazoa; Chordata; Amphibia; Anura; Pipidae.